GCCUUCUUGGCGCAAUCGGCUAGGGCGUUCGACUGUUAAUCGGAAGGAUGGAGGUUCGAGCCCUCCUGGAGGCG
RNAcentral lists this transfer RNA (74 nucleotides) under Ixodes scapularis (black-legged tick). It matches the Rfam family "tRNA". From Rfam's summary of the family: Transfer RNA (tRNA) molecules are approximately 80 nucleotides in length. The record is from Rfam by way of RNAcentral. Lineage: Eukaryota; Metazoa; Arthropoda; Arachnida; Ixodida; Ixodidae.